This 253-nucleotide ribosomal RNA is filed under the name uncultured bacterium. Its description in RNAcentral is "partial 16S ribosomal RNA". It matches the Rfam family "Bacterial small subunit ribosomal RNA", at positions 524 to 776 of the family's 1533-position model. The record is from RNAcentral.
UACGUAGGGUCCGAGCGUUGUCCGGAAUUACUGGGCGUAAAGAGCUCGUAGGUGGUUUGUCGCGUUGUUCGUGAAAACUCACAGCUCAACUGUGGGCGUGCGGGCGAUACGGGCAGGCUAGAGUUCGGUAGGGGAGACUGGAAUUCCUGGUGUAGCGGUGAAAUGCGCAGAUAUCAGGAAGAACACCCGUGGCGAAGGCGGCUCUCUGGGCAUGUCCUGACGCUGAGGAGCGAAAGUGUGGGGAGCGAACAGG